This 497-nucleotide ribosomal RNA is filed under the name uncultured bacterium. Its description in RNAcentral is "partial 16S ribosomal RNA". It matches the Rfam family "Bacterial small subunit ribosomal RNA", at positions 28 to 507 of the family's 1533-position model. The record is from RNAcentral.
GAUGAACGCUGGCGGCGUGCCUAAUACAUGCAAGUCGAGCGAACAGACGAGGAGCUUGCUCCUCUGACGUUAGCGGCGGACGGGUGAGUAACACGUGGAUAACCUACCUAUAAGACUGGGAUAACUUCGGGAAACCGGAGCUAAUACCGGAUAAUAUAUUGAACCGCAUGGUUCAAUAGUGAAAGACGGUUUUGCUGUCACUUAUAGAUGGAUCCGCGCCGCAUUAGCUAGUUGGUAAGGUAACGGCUUACCAAGGCGACGAUGCGUAGCCGACCUGAGAGGGUGAUCGGCCACACUGGAACUGAGACACGGUCCAGACUCCUACGGGAGGAAGCAGUAGGGAAUCUUCCGCAAUGGGCGAAAGCCUGACGGAGCAACGCCGCGUGAGUGAUGAAGGUCUUCGGAUCGUAAAACUCUGUUAUUAGGGAAGAACAAAUGUGUAAGUAACUAUGCACGUCUUGACGGUACCUAAUCAGAAAGCCACGGCUAACUACGUG